UUUGGUUCAAUGUAUUGCUAAUACGCCUGUAAUCCAUUACUUUCCUAAUCGCUUCAGCAAACCGUCCCUGUUUUACCCUCCCCGAUCCCCUUUGUUUCUCUUCUGUUCCUUCUAGCUUCAUCCGAUUUAUUUCCUUGUUUGUUUGCUUUUCUUUUCUGCCGAUUUGCUCCCAGUUUAUUUUCUUUGUAUUUGUAACAUGGGCGUUUCCUUCAUUAGCUGUGAAACUGAAAAGUCUCUCUUGCUUUCUCUCCCUCCCUCGAGUAUCUUCUCUUCGCAGGCAAACAAACAUUGCUCAAUUUCUUUUCUUAUUCCGAGUCUUGGUUAUCAGCUAAGCGCUUCUUGUGGAUUGUGAAGUGUGAUAUUUGUUUUUGGCUCUGUUGAUGGUUAAAUAAUUCUUUAUUCACGCAAAAGAGGAGCCUAGCCAACUACAAUAAAAGCAUCUGCGAAACUGAUAGUAAUCACGAUAGAGAAGUAUUCUGGAUAAGUGGAGGUAAGAUUAAGGGAAUGAAGGGCUGUCAACAUUCACAUGUUUUGUGCUCGCAGGGCAGGUUUCUUGCUCUCCACCCUGAGAGCUCUAGACAACCUUGGAUUGGACAUACAACAAGCUGUAAUCAGCUAUUUUAAUGGGUUUGCACUGGAUGUUUUCUGAGCUGAGCAAUGCAGGGAAGGCCAGGAUGUAUUGCCUGAGCAAAUCAAAGCAGUACUUUUGGAUUCAGCAGGUUCCGUGGGAUAAUGUGAGGGUGAAUGGUUGGCUUAUUAUGAUGGUAUUGGUAUGAACAGAGGCAAUAGUAAAUGUUGAUGUAAAGUAAUUAGUUGCUUCUCAUCCCAGUGGUGAAGCAAAUUUUACAAGGUAGUGAGCUUUGUAGGUAGCGCAAGCAAGUAGGCAAACAAUUGAUUUCUUAGUUAUUGUAUCACUUGAGAAUGAAGUUGAUUCUGAUGGAGGUUUUUAUUUAUUAUAUUUAUUUUCUUUUUUCUUUUGGGUUAA
Long non-coding RNA from Gossypium raimondii (Peruvian cotton), 985 nucleotides. RefSeq lists it as uncharacterized. The transcript is spliced from 4 exons. The record is from RefSeq and is a predicted model, not a curated record. NCBI's taxonomy places the organism in Eukaryota, Viridiplantae, Streptophyta, Magnoliopsida, Malvales, Malvaceae.